UACAGAGGGUGCAAGCGUUAAUCGGAAUUACUGGGCGUAAAGCGUGCGUAGGUGGUUUACUAAGUCAGGUGUGAAAUCCCCGGGCUCAACCUGGGAACUGCGCUUGAUACUGGUAAACUAGAGUUUAGUAGAGGGAAGUGGAAUUCCACGUGUAGCGGUGAAAUGCGUAGAUAUGUGGAGGAACACCUGUGGCGAAAGCGGUUUUCUAGCUUAUACCUGACGCUGAGGCGCGAAAGCAAGGGGAGCAAACAGG
This 253-nucleotide ribosomal RNA is filed under the name uncultured bacterium. Its description in RNAcentral is "partial 16S ribosomal RNA". It matches the Rfam family "Bacterial small subunit ribosomal RNA", at positions 524 to 776 of the family's 1533-position model. The record is from RNAcentral.